Molecule: ribosomal RNA, 372 nt
Filed under: uncultured prokaryote
Description: bacterial SSU rRNA
Rfam family: Bacterial small subunit ribosomal RNA
Source: RNAcentral
UACGUAGGGUGCGAGCGUUAAUCGGAAUUACUGGGCGUAAAGCGUGCGCAGGCGGAUGUUUAAGUCAGAUGUGAAAUCCCCGGGCUCAACCUGGGAAUGGCAUUUGAAACUGGGCAUCUAGAGUGCGUCAGAGGGGGGUGGAAUUCCACGUGUAGCAGUGAAAUGCGUAGAGAUGUGGAGGAACACCGAUGGCGAAGGCAGCCCCCUGGGAUGACACUGACGCUCAUGCCCGAACGCGUGGGGAGAAAACAGGAUUAGAUCCCCUGGUAGUCCACGCCCAAAACUAUGUCAACAGGUUGUUGGGGACGUAAGUUCUUAGUGACGAAGUUAACGCAUAAAGUUGACCGCCUGGGGAGUACGGCCGCAAGGUUG